UCUAGUAUGGCAGAUUAGUGCAUUGAAUUUAAGCUUCAAAUAUAAAGUUUUCUUUUUCUGGAA
This 63-nucleotide transfer RNA is filed under the name Prolachesilla sp. PrspLA. Its description in RNAcentral is "tRNA-Leu". Lineage: Eukaryota; Metazoa; Arthropoda; Insecta; Psocodea; Lachesillidae. The record is from RNAcentral.